Non-coding RNA from Nicotiana tabacum (common tobacco), 720 nucleotides. Lineage: Eukaryota; Viridiplantae; Streptophyta; Magnoliopsida; Solanales; Solanaceae. The record is from RefSeq and is a predicted model, not a curated record.
AAAUAGCCACUUCUUGAGCUUUAUAUUUCCUCAACCACAUUUCUAUUGAGAAAAAUCUGAAGUUGAAGGAGAGAGUGAGGUGAUAAUGGCAAGUAGAAGAGAAGUUUACUUUGUUUUCAUGAACUAUGAUCCAGAAUACGAGCGCCUUAAAUCCAACAGAACGAAGAAGGGAACACAAGAGCUUGAUCUGUACUUGUGCAAGAAACAUGAUGAGUUGUUAGAAAACACCCUUGAGCCAGGCAGCUACAACAAGACAAUGUCAUUAGUUAUUGUUGAUGGCUUUGCUGUAGAAAUGACAGAUCAUCAGGCUAAUCUGCUUCGAUCUGCAAAAGACGUGAGGGUUGUCGAGAAAAAUCAAGAGCUUGCAUAAUGCCGGCCAAGAUUAGGAGGAGGCGUGAUCCCCUACUGUUUGAGGCUGAGUUUGCUCAAUGAUUUCUUGCUAAAUGAAAUUUAGAAAACUAAGAGUAAAAUAAAAUUAAUAAAAAAAAAAAGUGGGGUGGAUCGGAGGCAAGAAUAUUGUGUAAGUAAAUGCUUCGUCUUAUGGUACGAAAGCAUAUAUGAAGUCAUUAUUGUACUUUAGAUAAUUAUUGUUCUCUCAAUAUAUAUCCCUACCCCGACCAUGUAUUUCACUUUUUACUUAGUACGUGAUAGAAAGUGUAAUUAAUGCCUCGUCUGAGUCCCAUUGAUCCAAUUCUGUCUUUUGAAAGGAUAAAAUAAUUA